AGCAAAGUCCAAGAUACACCGAUGCCACGAUCACCGAGGAUCAGCUUCACUAUGCCUCGAUUGUGGGACAUGGAAGUGGUACAAGUUUUCCAAUCAGAAGAGAAGAGUCUGUGAUCUAUACACUGUUGACUUUCAAACCAAGGCAGGGAGUGGUUGAUCCUCCAGAUUCAUAAACAGAACAGCC
Molecule: long non-coding RNA, 184 nt
Organism: Mauremys mutica (yellowpond turtle)
Lineage: Eukaryota; Metazoa; Chordata; Testudines; Geoemydidae
Exons: 3
Source: RefSeq, a predicted model, not a curated record